Molecule: ribosomal RNA, 42 nt
Filed under: Culex pseudovishnui
Lineage: Eukaryota; Metazoa; Arthropoda; Insecta; Diptera; Culicidae
Description: partial 28S ribosomal RNA
Source: RNAcentral
GGCCUCAAAUAAUGUGUGACCACCCCCUAAAUUUAAACAUAA